Molecule: ribosomal RNA, 243 nt
Filed under: uncultured bacterium
Lineage: Bacteria
Description: partial 16S ribosomal RNA
Rfam family: Bacterial small subunit ribosomal RNA
Source: RNAcentral
CUCGAGUGGCGAACGGGUGAGUAACACGUGAGUAACCUGCCCUUGACUUUGGGAUGACUUCAGGAAACUGGGGCUAAUACCGGAUAGGAGCUCCUGCUGCAUGGUGGGGGUUGGAAAGUUUCGGCGGUUGGGGAUGGACUCGCGGCUUAUCAGCUUGUUGGUGGGGUAGUGGCUUACCAAGGCUUUGACGGGUAGCCGGCCUGAGAGGGUGACCGGCCACAUUGGGACUGAGAUACGGCCCAG